This is a long non-coding RNA of Eriocheir sinensis (Chinese mitten crab), 6416 nucleotides long. RefSeq lists it as uncharacterized. NCBI's taxonomy places the organism in Eukaryota, Metazoa, Arthropoda, Malacostraca, Decapoda, Varunidae. The transcript has 4 exons. The record is from RefSeq and is a predicted model, not a curated record.
CUUAAUGGUGAUGGGGGUAUUGACUUAAUGGUGAUGGAUGUGUUGGCUUAAUGGUGAUGGGGGUAUUGACUUAAUGGUGAUGGAUGUGUUGGCUUAAUGGUGAUGGAUGUGUUGGCUUAAUGGUGAUGGAUGUGUUGGCUUAAUGGUGAUGGAUGUGUUGGCUUAAUGGUGAUGGAUGUGUUGGCUUAAUGGUGAUGGAUGUGUUGGCUUAAUGGUGAUGGAUGUGUUGGCUUAAUGGUGAUGGAUGUGUUGGCUUAAUGGUGAUGGGGGUAUUGGCUUAAUGGUGAUGGAUGUGUUGGCUUAAUGGUGAUGGGGGUAUUGGCUUAAUGGUGAUGGAUGUGUUGGCUUAAUGGUGAUGGGGGUAUUGGCUUAAUGGUGAUGGAUGUGUUGGCUUAAUGGUGAUGGAUGUGUUGGCUUAAUGGUGAUGGAUGUGUUGGCUUAAUGGUGAUGGAUGUGUUGGCUUAAUGGUGAUGGAUGUGUUGGCUUAAUGGUGAUGGAUGUGUUGGCUUAAUGGUGAUGGAUGUGUUGGCUUAAUGGUGAUGGAUGUGUUGGCUUAAUGGUGAUGGGGGUAUUGACUUAAUGGUGAUGGAUGUGUUGGCUUAAUGGUGAUGGAUGUGUUGGCUUAAUGGUGAUGGGGGUAUUGACUUAAUGGUGAUGGAUGUGUUGGCUUAAUGGUGAUGGAUGUGUUGGUUUAAUGGUGAUGGAUGUGUUGGCUUAAUGGUGAUGGAUGUGUUGGCUUAAUGGUGAUGGAUGUGUUGGCUUAAUGGUGAUGGGGGUAUUGACUUAAUGGUGAUGGAUGUGUUGGCUUAAUGGUGAUGGAUGUGUUGGCUUAAUGGUGAUGGAUGUGUUGGCUUAAUGGUGAUGGAUGUGUUGGCUUAAUGGUGAUGGAUGUGUUGGUUUAAUGGUGAUGGAUGUGUUGGCUUAAUGGUGAUGGAUGUGUUGGCUUAAUGGUGAUGGAUGUGUUGGCUUAAUGGUGAUGGAUGUGUUGGCUUAAUGGUGAUGGGUGUGUUGGCUUAAUGGUGAUGGAUGUGUUGGCUUAAUGGUGAUGGGUGUAUUGACUUAAUGGUGAUGGGGGUGUUGGCUUAAUGGUGAUGGAUGUGUUGGCUUAAUGGUGAUGGAUGUGUUGGCUUAAUGGUGAUGGAUGUGUUGGCUUAAUGGUGAUGGAUGUGUUGGCUUAAUGGUGAUGGAUGUGUUGGCUUAAUGGUGAUGGAUGUGUUGGCUUAAUGGUGAUGGAUGUGUUGGCUUAAUGGUGAUGGAUGUGUUGGCUUAAUGGUGAUGGGGGUAUUGACUUAAUGGUGAUGGAUGUGUUGGCUUAAUGGUGAUGGAUGUGUUGGCUUAAUGGUGAUGGGGGUAUUGACUUAAUGGUGAUGGAUGUGUUGGCUUAAUGGUGAUGGGGGUAUUGACUUAAUGGUGAUGGAUGUGUUGGCUUAAUGGUGAUGGGGGUAUUGACUUAAUGGUGAUGGGGGUAUUGACUUAAUGGUGAUGGGGGUAUUGACUUAAUGGUGAUGGAUGUGUUGGCUUAAUGGUGAUGGAUGUGUUGGCUUAAUGGUGAUGGAUGUGUUGGCUUAAUGGUGAUGGAUGUGUUGGCUUAAUGGUGAUGGGGGUAUUGACUUAAUGGUGAUGGAUGUGUUGGCUUAAUGGUGAUGGAUGUGUUGGCUUAAUGGUGAUGGAUGUGUUGGCUUAAUGGUGAUGGAUGUGUUGGCUUAAUGGUGAUGGAUGUGUUGGCUUAAUGGUGAUGGAUGUGUUGGCUUAAUGGUGAUGGGGGUGUUGGCUUAAUGGUGAUGGAUGUGUUGGCUUAAUGGUGAUGGAUGUGUUGGCUUAAUGGUGAUGGAUGUGUUGGCUUAAUGGUGAUGGAUGUGUUGGCUUAAUGGUGAUGGAUGUGUUGGCUUAAUGGUGAUGGAUGUGUUGGCUUAAUGGUGAUGGGGGUGUUGGCUUAAUGGUGAUGGAUGUGUUGGCUUAAUGGUGAUGGAUGUGUUGGCUUAAUGGUGAUGGAUGUGUUGACUUAAUGGUGAUGGAUGUGUUGGCUUAAUGGUGAUGGGGGUGUUGGCUUAAUGGUGAUGGAUGUGUUGGCUUAAUGGUGAUGGAUGUGUUGGCUUAAUGGUGAUGGGUGUGUUGGCUUAAUGGUGAUGGAUGUGUUGGCUUAAUGGUGAUGGGGGUAUUGACUUAAUGGUGAUGGGGGUAUUGACUUAAUGGUGAUGGGUGUGUUGGCUUAAUGGUGAUGGGGGUAUUGACUUAAUGGUGAUGGGGGUAUUGACUUAAUGGUGAUGGGUGUGUUGGCUUAAUGGUGAUGGGUGUGUUGGCUUAAUGGUGAUGGGGGUGUUGGCUUAAUGGUGAUGGAUGUGUUGGCUUAAUGGUGAUGGGGGUAUUGACUUAAUGGUGAUGGAUGUGUUGGCUUAAUGGUGAUGGGGGUAUUGACUUAAUGGUGAUGGAUGUGUUGGCUUAAUGGUGAUGGGGGUAUUGACUUAAUGGUGAUGGGGGUAUUGACUUAAUGGUGAUGGGUGUGUUGGCUUAAUGGUGAUGGGGGUGUUGGCUUAAUGGUGAUGGGGGUGUUGGCUUAAUGGUGAUGGGGGUAUUGACUUAAUGGUGAUGGGGGUAUUGACUUAAUGGUGAUGGGGGUAUUGACUUAAUGGUGAUGGAUGUGUUGGCUUAGCAAGAUGUAGGUAACAGGAGAGAGAGACACAGGGAGAGAUGGAGAGAAAAAGAGAUGAUAGAGAGAGUCACUGGAGAGAAUGUCAUGCAGUAUGUAUAUGGACCAGCCUCGUGUGUCAUGCAGUAUGUAUGUGGACCAGCCUCGUGUGUCAUGCAGUAUGUAUAUGGACCAGCCUCGUGUGUCAUGCAGUAUGUAUAUGGACCAGCCUCGUGUGUCAUGCAGUAUGUAUAUGGACCAGCCUCGUGUGUCAUGCAGUAUGUAUAUGGACCAGCCUCGUGUGUCAUGCAGUAUGUAUAUGGACCAGCCUCGUGUGUCAUGCAGUAUGUAUAUGGACCAGCCUCGUGUGUCAUGCAGUAUGUAUAUGGACCAGCCUCGUGUGUCAUGCAGUAUGUAUAUGGACCAGCCUCGUGUGUCAUGCAGUAUGUAUAUGGACCAGCCUCGUGUGUCAUGCAGUAUGUAUAUGGACCAGCCUCGUGUGUCAUGCAGUAUGUUUUCUGUCAGAUAUGUUUUGUCUUCCCAGAGCUGCCGUGACAGAGGCCGGACUCGUGUGGGACCGCGGAGAUGCCGGGUCAAGCAGGGGAGACAUCACGGAGAGUCACACCAAGAUAGAUAGGUCAAUUUAGGUCAACAUAUGUCCUCAGUGUGUUAGUGAGGAUAGGCUAUCACUGGUUAGCUGUCUAAUCAUUGGGAGUGACUAGUGUGCAGAGCUCGGCAACAUUAUGGAAUACUAAAUGAUAUCAAGUGAUUGUUUUUAGUCUUAAGUUUACUCUCUCCUCCUCCUCCUCCUCCUCCUCCUCCUCUCUGUCUAUCUUCAUCCCUUCCUUCCUUUUAAUGAAUAAGUUAUCUUUUGCUUAAUUAACGUUUAUAAUUCUUUCUGGUGGUCAAAUCUUGCAUCUCAUUUCCCUGUCAUCCAUUCUCUCUCCUCCUCCUCCUCCUCCUCCUCCUCCUGCUCAUAAUCCAAUUCCUUCUAUUCUCCUUUAUUCCUUUUUCACUUUCCCUCCUUCCCUUUUCCAUUCCCCCUCCCCGACUUUCCUCCAUUCUUUCCUCCUCUAUUCUUCCUUCAUCUCCUUCUCCUUUUUCUCCUUUCACUCCUCCUCCUCCUCUGUCUAUCUUCAUCCCUUCCUUCCUUUUAAUUAAUGUCUAAGUUAUCCUUUGAGUGACGUUCUUUCUGGCGGUCAAAUCUUGCAUCCUAUUUCCUAUCGUCCAUUCUCUCUCUUCCUCCUUCUCCUCCUCCUCUGUCUAUCUUCAUCCCUUCCUUCCUUUUAAUUAAUGUCUAAGUUAUCUAUCGCUCAAGGUUCCUUCCAGUGUGUUUGUGGUGCCCGGCUCUGCUUGCUAGUUUGUUUUGUCACUGUAUAAUUGUCAAUCCUAGUUUGUUUUGUCACUGUAUAAUUGUCAGUCCUAGUUUGUUUUGCCACUGUAUAAUUGUCAAUCCUAGUUUGCUUUGUCACUGUAUAAUUGUCAAUCCUAGCUAGUUUUGUCACUGUAUAAUUGUCAGUCCUAGUUUGCUUUGCCACUGUAUAAUUGUCCGUCCCAGCCAGGCGCUUCUUCCAUGUAAAGAUAUCGGCAGCUUCAAGCCUUGCCGAUAUCUCAAUCCGUACGUGAAUGUAAAUUAACCGAAAUCCUUGUUACUAAGCCCUGCACGGUGCUCUCUCUCAUAAUGCUUCUUUAAAUUUUCAGUCUCACUUAAUUUCCGGGGUUAGUAAUAUAUUUUGCCAUAAGUUAACUCCCCGUGAUGGCCAGUUUCAUGUACUAUAUAUAAGUAAUUUGCCUUUUGCAUGGCUAUAAUUCUGCAUCUGUGUCUAAGGCCCAGUUUCACAGUUCCUCAUGAUGGGUUAGUAAGCUCCAAAACCAAUACCAGAGCCUUCGAAAUUUCCUUGUACGGUGUCUGGAGUUUAUAUUCAAGUUCACAAGUUUGACGAGACUAUACAGGAAAGGUCUUGUGUGUUUAUGGUACGAAGGAAAGGGAGGAGAAGGGAGAUGAGAUUAGGAGACGAGUGAGCUGAGAUCCUGUUUAUAUUCAAGUUCACAAAUUUGACGAGACUAUACAGGAAAGGUCUUAUAUUGUCAUGAUACGAAGGAAAGGGAGGAGAAGGGAGAUGAGAUUGGGAGACGAGUGAGCUGAGAUUCUGUUUAUAUUCAAGUUCACAAAUUUGACGAGACUAUACAGGAAAGGUCUUAUAUUGUCAUGAUACGAAGGAAAGGGAGGAGAAGGGAGAUGAGAUUAGGAGACGAGUGAGCUGAGAUUCUGUUUAUAUUCAAGUCCACAAAUUUGACAAGCCUAUACAGGAAAGGUCUUGUGUGUUUAUGCUACGAAGGAAAGGGAAGAGAAGGGAGAUGAGAUUGGGAGACGAGUGAGCCGAGAUCCUGUUUAUAUUCAAGUUCACAAAUUUGACAAGACUAUACAGGAAAGGUCUUAUAUUGUCAUGAUACGAAGGAAAGGGAGGAGAAGGGAGAUGAGAUUGGGAGACGAGUGAGCCGAGAUCCUGUUUAUAUUCAAGUUCACAAAUUUGACGAGACUAUACAGGAAAGGUCUUGUGUGUUUAUGCUACGAAGGAAAGGGAGGAGAAGGGAGAUGAGAUUAGGAGACGAGUGAGCCGAGAUCCUGUUUAUAUUCAAGUCCACAAAUUUGACAAGACCAUACAGGAAAAGCUCUCUGUUUAUGAUAUGAAGGAAAGGGAAGAGAAGGGAGAUGAGUAAGCUGAGAUUCUGUUUAUACUCAAGUUCACAAAUUUGACGAGACUAUACAGGAAAAGCUCUCUGUUUAUGAUAUGAAGGAAAGGGAAGAGAAGGGAGAUGAGUAAGCUGAGAUUCUGUUUAUAUUCAAGUUCACAAAUUUGACGAGACUAUACAGGAAAGGUCUUGUGUGUUUAUGGUACGAAGGAAAGGGAGGAGAAGGGAGAUGAGAUUAGGAGACGAGUGAGCUGAGAUUCUGUUUAUAUUCAAGUUCACAAAUUUGACAAGACUAUACAGGAAAAGCUGUGUUUAUGAUAUGAAGGAAAGGGAAGAGAAGGGAGAUGAGUAAGCUGGGAUCCUGUUUAUAUUCAAGUCCACAAAUUUGACGACACAAUACAGGAAAAGCUCUUUGUAUUUAGUGUGUCAUCGAAGACCGCGCCAUUUUGAACAGUAUGGGAUUCUAUAGCUUGGUUCGGGAGUGUUACAAAGACCAUGAUGGACUGUGGAAGUGGCCUUUAAUGUUCCCUUUUCUAAUAUGCCUCUCUGUUUUUGCAGGAUGCCGCGGACGGACCAUGCAGAGGACUCAUCGCGACGACACCGACGGUUUGGUUAAGUGGGUUCUCUUGUGUGUGCGUCUGUGUGUGAAUGGCAGGCCUGUCGUAUGAUUGUGUGUGUGUGUGCGUGGGCGUUAUGCCUUCGCACUAUUAUUUUGUUAGGAUGUAUUUUUUUGUGUGUGAACUUUUUGCACGUAAUCUUUUUUUAUACCCAUAGCUAGCGUUUGUUUGUGUGGCAGUGUUCCGGGAGAUGGACGCCGGGGGACAUGGGCUUGGGGAGGCGCACAUGACCUCCUCUGUCCGUGACCUCUUCAGCUGGGGAGACCGCGUGUUGCCCCGCCUGGAGAGACACGUUGAUGGAGGUGGCCGUGUGUGUCACCCUUUGCCUGUAUCCUCUGGCGUCCAGAGGCGCGUAAGUGGAGCGCAUCGGCGCAGCGCGGGAGCAGCACGUCAGGGUGUAGGGUGUUUGUUUAGCUGGUGUAGGGUGUUAGGGUGUUAGGGUGUUAGGUGUAACAACGGUUGGCUCUUUCACAGAACGG